GACGAACGCUGGCGGCGUGCUUAACACAUGCAAGUCGAACGGAAAGGCCCUGCUUUUGUGGGGUGCUCGAGUGGCGAACGGGUGAGUAACACGUGAGUAACCUGCCCUUGACUUUGGGAUAACUUUAGGAAACUGGGGCUAAUACCGGAUAGGAGCUCCUGCUGCAUGGUGGGGGUUGGAAAGUUUCGGCGGUUGGGGAUGGACUCGCGGCUUAUCAGCUUGUUGGUGGGGUAGUGGCUUACCAAGGCUUUGACGGGUAGCCGGCCUGAGAGGGUGACCGGCCACAUUGGGACUGAGAUACGGCCCAGACUCCUACGGGAGGCAGCAGUGGGGAAUAUUGCACAAUGGGCGCAAGCCUGAUGCAGCGACGCCGCGUGCGGGAUGACGGCCUUCGGGUUGUAAACCGCUUUCGCCUGUGACGAAGCGUGAGUGACGGUAAUGGGUAAAGAAGCACCGGCUAACUACGUG
RNAcentral lists this ribosomal RNA (468 nucleotides) under uncultured bacterium. Its description in RNAcentral is "partial 16S ribosomal RNA". It matches the Rfam family "Bacterial small subunit ribosomal RNA", at positions 28 to 507 of the family's 1533-position model. The record is from RNAcentral.